GAAUAUGGGGGGACCAUCCUCCAAGGCUAAAUACUCCUGACUGACCGAUAGUGAACCAGUACCGUGAGGGAAAGGCGAAAAGAACCCCGGCGAGGGGAGUGAAAAAGAACCUGAAACCGUGUACGUACAAGCAGUGGGAGCCUCUUAAUGGGGUGACUGCGUACCUUUUGUAUAAUGGGUCAGCGACUUAUAUUCUGUAGCAAGGUUAACCGAAUAGGGGAGCCGAAGGGAAACCGAGUCUUAACUGGGCGUUAAGUUGCAGGGUAUAGACCCGAAACCCGGUGAUCUAGCCAUGGGCAGGUUGAAGGUUGGGUAACACUAACUGGAGGACCGAACCGACUAAUGUUGAAAAAUUAGCGGAUGACUUGUGGCUGGGGGUGAAAGGCCAAUCAAACCGGGAGAUAGCUGGUUCUCCCCGAAAGCUAUUUAGGUAGCGCCUCGUGAAUUCAUCUCCGGGGGUAGAGCACUGUUUCGGCAAGGGGGUCAUCCCGACUUACCAACCCGAUGCAAACUGCGAAUACCGGAGAAUGUUAUCACGGGAGACACACGGCGGGUGCUAACGUCCGUCGUGAAGAGGGAAACAACCCAGACCGCCAGCUAAGGUCCCAAAGUCAUGGUUAAGUGGGAAACGAUGUGGGAAGGCCCAGACAGCCAGGAUGUUGGCUUAGAAGCAGCCAUCAUUUAAAGAAAGCGUAAUAGCUCACUGGUCGAGUCGGCCUGCGCGGAAGAUGUAACGGGGCUAAACCAUGCACCGAAGCUGCGGCAGCGACACUAUGUGUUGUUGGGUAGGGGAGCG
Molecule: ribosomal RNA, 796 nt
Filed under: Escherichia coli
Lineage: Bacteria; Pseudomonadati; Pseudomonadota; Gammaproteobacteria; Enterobacterales; Enterobacteriaceae
Description: partial 23S ribosomal RNA
Rfam family: Bacterial large subunit ribosomal RNA
Source: RNAcentral